RNAcentral lists this ribosomal RNA (388 nucleotides) under uncultured bacterium. RNAcentral's name for it is "bacterial SSU rRNA". It matches the Rfam family "Bacterial small subunit ribosomal RNA", at positions 28 to 417 of the family's 1533-position model. The record is from RNAcentral.
GACGAACGCUGGCGGCGUGCUUAACACAUGCAAGUCGAGCGGUAAGGCCCUUUCGGGGGUACACGAGCGGCGAACGGGUGAGUAACACGUGGGUGACCUGCCCUCAGCUCUGGGAUAAGCCUGGGAAACCGGGUCUAAUACCGGAUAUGACUCCAUGACGCAUGUUGUGGGGUGGAAAGCCUUGUGCGGCUGAGGAUGGGCCCGCGGCCUAUCAGCUUGUUGGUGGGGUGANGGCCUACCAAGGCGACGACGGGUAGCCGGCCUGAGAGGGCGACCGGCCACACUGGGACUGAGGCACGGCCCAGACUCCUACGGGAGGCAGCAGUGGGGAAUCUUGCGCAAUGGGCGAAAGCCUGACGCAGCGACGCCGCGUGAGGGAUGACGGCCU